AUGGCGAGAACCCUUUUUGGUUUCGUCGCCGCCCCCGCGCUCCUCCUCGCCGUCUUCAUGCCGGCCCUCGCCGCCGCGCAGGCCCCCGCGCCGGCGCCCACCAGCGACGCGUCCUCGGUCGACCAGGGCGUUGCCUACUUUCUGAUGAUCCUGGCGCUGGUGCUCACCUACCUCAUCCACCCGUUGGACGCCUCCUCCCCGUACAAGCUCUUCUGA
RNAcentral lists this ribosomal RNA (216 nucleotides) under Triticum aestivum (bread wheat). RNAcentral's name for it is "partial small subunit ribosomal RNA". The record is from RNAcentral. Lineage: Eukaryota; Viridiplantae; Streptophyta; Magnoliopsida; Poales; Poaceae.